This 58-nucleotide ribosomal RNA is filed under the name Potamon fluviatile. Its description in RNAcentral is "partial 16S ribosomal RNA". Lineage: Eukaryota; Metazoa; Arthropoda; Malacostraca; Decapoda; Potamidae. The record is from RNAcentral.
AAAUAAUAAUUAGUUAUUUUAGUACGAAAGGAGUAAAUAAUUAAAAUAUUUUUAUAUA